CAAAUUCACAGUUUCACAAUGCCAAUGUGCGCUAGGCCAUACCAUCGCAGAGCAAAAAGUAACGACAAGCUACGGAUAAUGGCUCGGGCGUCUUGCUGCAUCGAGAAUUCUACGGUACUUACGACGGUUCUAUUUUGUAGUAUGGCGUGAGUUCCUGUAUUACUAGAGCUCGCCAAGGAACCGUUCUGGUAUGUUACUGUUGGCGCGCUGAGACGAUCCAAACUGUGGAGAUUUUCUGCAAAUAUUGAGUGAACUGGAUGCCUUAAAUUACUGGUCAGUGGGGCGGAUCGUCAAGGAUUAGUGAAGGAGUAAACGGCUGGCAUCAUAGUAUUCUGUGCUCUCCGUGAGAUGCAUCGAAUAUAAGUACUUGUGUAUACAGAUUAUUGAAGACCAACAUCACGAUAUCCACAGUUUCGGACUAGCCAUGGGAUGGAUGGGUACUAGUAAUUCUUGAUGUAGCCCUUGGAAUCAUCCGGCCCAUGACCAGUCUCAGUUCCCUUCAGGCGGAUAUUCUAUACUCGAAGCAACAGACUUGAGGGGGGGUGGGAUGUUCAAAAAUAGUGGCUCUGACAACCAACCUAUGGAAGCCGGUGCGUUCAAUGCUGUGUAUUCGGCGAUUCCCUGCGUCCUUCCACAGCGAAGGUGUAGCAAAAUCCAAGAUGGUUUCUUAAGAUGUUCAACAGUGGUUACACGGGAAUUCCAUCAGCUUAGGUGGUAACUUGAUCAACCAAGGACGUGCGUUCUCGCUGGCGGGUCGUGCGCAAAUGAUAAUGAUAGUUAGUAUACGGUU
This 790-nucleotide small RNA is filed under the name Histoplasma ohiense. RNAcentral's name for it is "hypothetical lncRNA". The record is from RNAcentral. Lineage: Eukaryota; Fungi; Ascomycota; Eurotiomycetes; Onygenales; Ajellomycetaceae.